CCUACGGGGGGCAGCAGUGGGGGAUAUUGCACAAUGGGGGGAACCCUGAUGCAGCGACGCCGCGUGGGGGAAGAAGCGCCUCGGCGCGUAAAGCCCUGUCAGCAGGGAAGAAAAUGACGGUACCUGAAGAAGAAGCCCUGGCUAACGACGUGCCAGCAGCCGCGGGAAUACGUAGGGGGCAAGCGUUAUCCGGAUUUACUGGGGGGAAAGGGGGCGCAGACGGCGAUGCAAGCCAGGUGUGAAAGCCCGGGGCCCAACCCCGGGACUGCUGUUGGAACUGCGGUGCUGGAGUGCAGGAGGGGUAGGCGGAAUUCCUGGUGUAGCGGUGAAAUGCGUAGAUAUCAGGAGGAACACCGGUGGCGAAGGCGGCCUGCUGGCCUGCAACUGACGUUGAGGCACGAAAGCGUGGGGAGCAAACAGGAUUAGAUACCCUGGUAGUC
Molecule: ribosomal RNA, 440 nt
Filed under: uncultured bacterium
Lineage: Bacteria
Description: partial 16S ribosomal RNA
Rfam family: Bacterial small subunit ribosomal RNA
Source: RNAcentral